CCUCAACUAAGGUAAACCCUAAAUCCUUCCCUUUUGUUUUAUAUUCCUCUUUUAAUUUAUAUUUUCUUGUUAAUCUCUGUUGUAGAGAAAGAUGAAAUCCUCCUUAAUAUUAUGAUGCCUAUUAAAUCCUAAAUCUGAUUUGUUGUCCUCAUAUUCAUCUUGUUAACUUAUGUUAUUCUUGUUAAGUUCUAUUUUGAAGGAGGAAACCCUUCUCUUGAGUUAUAACCAAAUAAUGGAUG
Molecule: long non-coding RNA, 239 nt
Filed under: Elaeis guineensis (African oil palm)
Lineage: Eukaryota; Viridiplantae; Streptophyta; Magnoliopsida; Arecales; Arecaceae
Description: long non-coding RNA (EGUI_LNC062415)
Source: RNAcentral